Long non-coding RNA from Ochotona curzoniae (black-lipped pika), 126 nucleotides. RefSeq lists it as uncharacterized. The transcript is spliced from 3 exons. NCBI's taxonomy places the organism in Eukaryota, Metazoa, Chordata, Mammalia, Lagomorpha, Ochotonidae. The record is from RefSeq and is a predicted model, not a curated record.
GCAGGGAGCUGGAUGGGAAGCAGGGCCACUGGGAUUAGAACCGGCGUUUAUGUGGGAUCCCGGGUGCGUUCAAGGAGAGGUCUUUAGCCUCUAGGCCCCGCUGCCGGGCCUAACAGUGUGUUUUAU